AACGAACGCUGGCGGCAUGCCUAACACAUGCAAGUCGAACGAGACCUUCGGGUCUAGUGGCGCACGGGUGCGUAACGCGUGGGAACCUGCCCUUAGGUUCGGAGUAACUCCCCGAAAGGGGUGCUAAUACCGGAUAAUGUCUUCGGACCAAAGAUUUAUCGCCUUUGGAUGGGCCCGCGUUGGAUUAGCUAGUUGGUAGGGUAAAAGCCUACCAAGGCGACGAUCCAUAGCUGGUCUGAGAGGAUGACCAGCCACACUGGGACUGAGACACGGCCCAGACUCCUACGGGAGGCAGCAGUGGGGAAUAUUGGACAAUGGGCGAAAGCCUGAUCCAGCAAUGCCGCGUGAGUGAUGAAGGCCUUAGGGUUGUAAAGCUCUUUUACCCGGGAUGAUAAUGACAGUACCGGGAGAAUAAGCUCCGGCUAACUCCGUG
RNAcentral lists this ribosomal RNA (433 nucleotides) under uncultured bacterium. RNAcentral describes it as "partial 16S ribosomal RNA". It matches the Rfam family "Bacterial small subunit ribosomal RNA", at positions 29 to 507 of the family's 1533-position model. The record is from RNAcentral.